Small nucleolar RNA from Callithrix jacchus (white-tufted-ear marmoset), 102 nucleotides. The record is from Ensembl. Lineage: Eukaryota; Metazoa; Chordata; Mammalia; Primates; Cebidae.
AUUCUUUUGUGGUUCAUAAGUGUGAUGAUUAGGUUUUCAUACUCUUGUGAGAUGUGCCUUCCUCAAAUUUUGUUACAGUGUUUGCAUAUUACCCAUCAGCCA